CGGUGGUUUGCGAAAGACCUUGGGGCCCCCCGUGGGGCGUUACUGGACUUGGGGUGCUCAGUCUGCAAGGCAGAAACACUCGGCAUAGAAAAGCCCAGGGCCCAGCGCAGGAUCCAGGAAGACUGUCCCAGUGCCUCCCCAAGAAAGUAGCCUGACAGCCCCAGAAAACACAAAACAGGACUUGGAAACCACUGUUCUCCACAAUGUGAAUUCAGUUACUUAUUCAGUGUGUUGAUACCAGAAUAUAGAAAUCCCUGUAAGGUUGCUAAAGGAAACAAUUAGCAUUUAAACAAAAGAGCUCAUUGAGAAACAUUUUAACAAGAGAAUAAGCUGAUUUUUUCACAGGCAUUACUAUGGAGAAAGGCAGGAAAACAGCCGAGAUUCCACACUGCAUUGUGCCUUAGCCUCCAGUGAAUAAAUGCAAGGAUUGUGCACACAGGAUCUAAACACUCGUAAAGAAGAUUCAUGGUGAUGUGCUUAGAAGAAAUUAAUAAAACCAAAGAGAAC
Non-coding RNA from Oryctolagus cuniculus (rabbit), 507 nucleotides. The record is from RefSeq and is a predicted model, not a curated record. NCBI's taxonomy places the organism in Eukaryota, Metazoa, Chordata, Mammalia, Lagomorpha, Leporidae.